GUUUGUCUUCCCUUUCUUAUUCUUUGUUAUAUUUAAUGAUACUAACAUUCCAAUGCUUAAUUCAGGCUGCUCAAAAACAUCCUCUAACCCCCAUAAAAAUACAAAAUAAACCCACAAAAGCCCUUGUCACGAUAGAUUCUAACGAAGAGGAUCUGUCACCAGUGCUCGACCUAACUUCCAGGAAGAGGAAGCAGCAACCAAAGAUCACUGACGCUUUGAGCCAACCUCCAACAAAACUCUCCAAG
RNAcentral lists this long non-coding RNA (245 nucleotides) under Lathyrus oleraceus (garden pea). RNAcentral describes it as "Pisum sativum (pea) long non-coding RNA (PSAT_LNC025745)". Lineage: Eukaryota; Viridiplantae; Streptophyta; Magnoliopsida; Fabales; Fabaceae. The record is from RNAcentral.